GAAUUUUGGACAAUGGGCGAAAGCCUGAUCCAGCCAUGCCGCGUGUGUGAAGAAGGCCUUUUGGUUGUAAAGCACUUUAAGCGAGGAGGAGGCUACUUGGAUUAAUACUCUAGGAUAGUGGACGUUACUCGCAGAAUAAGCACCGGGCAACUCGGUGCCAGCAGCCGCGGUAAUACAGAGGGUGCGAGCGUUAAUCGGAUUUACCGGGCGUAAAGCGUGCGUAGGCGGCUUUUUAAGUCGGAUGUGAAAUCCCUGAGCUUAACUUAGGAAUUGCAUUCGAUACUGGGAAGCUAGAGUAUGGGAGAGGAUGGUAGAAUUCCAGGUGUAGCGGUGAAAUGCGUAGAGAUCUGGAGGAAUACCGAUGGCGAAGGCAACCCCCUGGGCCUGUACUGACGCUCAUGCACGAAAGCGUGGGGAGCAAAC
Molecule: ribosomal RNA, 423 nt
Filed under: uncultured bacterium
Lineage: Bacteria
Description: bacterial SSU rRNA
Rfam family: Bacterial small subunit ribosomal RNA
Source: RNAcentral